GUGCGAACGUUGGUCGGAAUCACUGGGCUUAAAGGGCGCGUAGGCGGGCAGCCGCGUCCGGGGUGAAAUCCUCCCGCUCAACGGGAGAACGGCCUCGGAUACGGGCGGCCUGGAGGCGGGUAGGGGCACGCGGAACUGUGGGUGGAGCGGUGAAAUGCGUUGAGAUCCACAGGAACUCCGGUGGCGAAGGCGGCGUGCUGGACCCGUCCUGACGCUGAGGCGCGAAAGCUAGGGGAGCAAACGGG
RNAcentral lists this ribosomal RNA (245 nucleotides) under uncultured bacterium. RNAcentral describes it as "partial 16S ribosomal RNA". It matches the Rfam family "Bacterial small subunit ribosomal RNA", at positions 532 to 776 of the family's 1533-position model. The record is from RNAcentral.